Molecule: small RNA, 1256 nt
Filed under: Pongo abelii (Sumatran orangutan)
Lineage: Eukaryota; Metazoa; Chordata; Mammalia; Primates; Hominidae
Description: retained intron
Source: RNAcentral
AUUUAAUAAAAACUCCAUCUGGUAUGUGUACCAGAAAAACACAGGAGUUGGAUGGAUUUUUUAUUAAAUCAGGCCUUAAACUUGUUAAAUAGUUUUGCAUUUUUAUAAAUUAUAGUCAUGGUUAUAACAUUUCAGUAGCACCAUAAAAGUGCUUGGUUUAGGAAUUUUUUUUUUAAACUGAGAUAGUGUGUAAAUUUCUAGAUGGCUGUAAUAACAUGCAGGCUUUAAGUUACUGAUUUUAUAUAUCAAUAUUUGCAGCUUUCCAAUUAGUUGUGAUUUAUAAUUUAAUGUUUUACUUUUGGAAAAUAAGUGACAUUUAGAAAAUUAAAUAUUACUAUGAGGCUGUAUUGUGGUUUCCUACCCUCCCUCACCUUUCCAUCCCCUCCCACUUCCCUACUCCCGCUGCCCCACACCCUCUUAAUGCACAAGGCAUUAACAUAUGCUCCAGGUUACUUUUUUGGUAUUAAAUUCGGUGUUAGUCAGCAGAAUAAUCAUUUUCUGCACAAUUAUAGUAACUUAGGUCAAGUGUAGUUUUAUAUAGUGGUAGGUCUGAAUCCAUUUUCUUUAACUGUGUUGUUGUUGUAGGAAUUUGCUCGCCCUGAUACAUCGAAUGAUAGAGUUUGUUGUACGUGAAGGGCCAAUGUUUGAAGCUAUGAUUAUGAACAGAGAAAUCAACAAUCCUAUGUUCAGGUUCUUAUUUGAAAACCAGACACCAGCCCAUGUUUACUAUAGGUGGAAGCUUUAUUCUAUUCUGCAGGCAAGUAGAAUCAAUUACUUUGUUAAUUUUGACUCUGAGUAAUUAGACCUUUAUAAUAACUCUAAAUGUUUGUUAGGGAGAUUCUCCAACUAAAUGGCGGACGGAAGAUUUUCGUAUGUUCAAAAAUGGAUCUUUUUGGAGGCCACCACCAUUAAAUCCGUACUUGCAUGGAAUGUCAGAAGAGCAAGAAACAGAAGCUUUUGUAGAGGAACCUAGUAAAAAGGGAGCACUUAAGGAAGAACAGAGGGAUAAAUUGGAAGAAAUCUUGCGGGGAUUAACUCCAAGGAAAAAUGAUAUUGGAGAUGCAAUGGUUUUCUGUCUUAAUAAUGCUGAAGCUGCUGAAGAAAUAGUGGAUUGCAUUACUGAGUCGUUGUCCAUCUUAAAGACACCCCUUCCUAAAAAGAUUGCCAGAUUGUAUUUGGUUUCUGAUGUUUUGUACAACUCUUCAGCCAAAGUUGCUAAUGCUUCAUAUUAUAGAAAAUUUUUUGAGACAAAGUUA